UAUCCAUCUCCUCUUUCCCCUUUACGAUCAUGGAGGAGAAAAAAUCGGGGUGAAUCUGGUGGUUGGUUAAUCUCAAUCCCCAUACUUCCCACUGAAUACUAUAAUUGUGGGAGUGAAGGUUCGAGAAAGCAAACCCAAGUUUCCCCACCAAUUCAGUUUUUUUUUUCUUUUUCUUUUUUUUUCCAAUUUCCCAUUUUCUAUUUUCUGUUCCCCUUAUUCCCCCAAUUUUCUUUGUUCCGGAGAAAUCAAUUCCCUCAGAGAAACCCUGGAAGAGAAAGCGGUACAAUUUCAUGAUGGUAAGUUCGGUUUUUAUCCUUGAUUUAUGAAUCUAACAAACCCAGAUUGUUUGGUUUCUUAGGGUUUUGGUUACCUGUUGCAUAUCAUGACAUUAGAAUUUAGGUUGUAAAAGGUGGAAGGGGAAGAUUGGAUCCUCAUUGCAACGCUGUAUGAUUUGUUGAUAGGAGAUCGUUCAUUGCUCAGUGGAGUCUUCUUGAUCGUAACUUCUAGUCAACGCGACGAAGGAACACAAGCUUGUAAGAUCACCAAAGUUGCAGGAGAACCAAGUAAAAUAAGGAGCUCAGAGAGUACAAAAUAUGAGCAUUUUCUAGAUUGGAGCAGGCUGUGACCAGCAAUCCUGGAUGCAGUUGCUGAGUUUUAGAGAGCCAAGAAACUGCUGCUCUUCUGAAUUGAAGCAUAAGCAUAUGAAGCUCACUAGGUACAUUGUUUGUGAAUUUUGAGAACUGUUUGGUCGAUCUAUACUAUAUUAUGCGUAAUCAUAAGAAAAAGAUUCCUUCAAGUUUUAUAGGACAAUAAGAGACAGAUCUAGCAGUUGAACAUUAUUUGUCAGAAAAUGUGGGAGUUCGAGUGCAACUGCUUGUGAAGUACCUAGUUGGAGUGUCGCAGGCUCAUAGGUUGCAGAAGUAAAGAGUUUACGUCUUUUGAUGUAUUCCACAUCUCCAUGCGUUAUACACAAGACAGCAACAAACUUGAAUUUGAAAGUUUCUGACGACAAGCUGGGAUUUCUGGAUAUCUUACUAAUUCAAGUACUUUCAGCAUUUUAUAGAGAUAUAUUCAUCAAUUUCUUUUUUGUUUGUGUUAACAGUAUGUUAUACUAAUUUAUGGAAUAUCGAGGAACUGGGGGCUCCUAAACUGCACUCAAAAUCUAUAAACUUUGUAAUUUCAGACGGGAAAUUUCACUUUGUAAAUAUAUUGUUUGGUUUUGAAUC
Long non-coding RNA from Papaver somniferum (opium poppy), 1226 nucleotides. RefSeq lists it as uncharacterized. The transcript is spliced from 5 exons. Lineage: Eukaryota; Viridiplantae; Streptophyta; Magnoliopsida; Ranunculales; Papaveraceae. The record is from RefSeq and is a predicted model, not a curated record.